GAGUUUGAUCAUGGCUCAGGAUGAACGCUGGCGGCGUGCCUAACACAUGCAAGUCGAACGAAGCAAUCAGAAUGAAGUUUUCGGAUGGAUUUCGGAUUGACUGAGUGGCGGACGGGUGAGUAACGCGUGGAUAACCUGCCUCACACUGGGGGAUAACAGUUAGAAAUGACUGCUAAUACCGCAUAAGCGCACAGUGCCGCAUGGUACGGUGUGAAAACUCCGGUGGUGUGAGAUGGAUCCGCGUCUGAUUAGCCAGUUGGCGGGUAAC
This 268-nucleotide ribosomal RNA is filed under the name uncultured bacterium. Its description in RNAcentral is "partial 16S ribosomal RNA". It matches the Rfam family "Bacterial small subunit ribosomal RNA", at positions 9 to 261 of the family's 1533-position model. The record is from RNAcentral.